GGCCAGGUAGCUCAGUUGGUAGAGCAACGGACUGAAAAUCCGUGUGCCGGGGUUCGACUCCCUCCCUGGCCA
Molecule: transfer RNA, 72 nt
Filed under: Acidobacteriota bacterium
Lineage: Bacteria; Pseudomonadati; Acidobacteriota
Description: Acidobacteria bacterium (activated sludge metagenome) tRNA-Phe
Rfam family: tRNA
About the family: Transfer RNA (tRNA) molecules are approximately 80 nucleotides in length. Their secondary structure includes four short double-helical elements and three loops (D, anti-codon, and T loops).
Source: RNAcentral